Molecule: long non-coding RNA, 3748 nt
Organism: Biomphalaria glabrata
Lineage: Eukaryota; Metazoa; Mollusca; Gastropoda; Planorbidae
Exons: 7
Source: RefSeq, a predicted model, not a curated record
GUGUUACUCUAGUCAAAUGUGAAUAUUCGUUUGUUAUGAAUCUCACUGCUCUAUUUUGUGUCUGUUCCAGUUUUUUAAUGUUUUCUUGGGUUGAGGGGUCCCAAACGGAGGAUGCAUAUUCUAUUAUUGGCCUAACCAAGGUUAAGUAACAUUUCAUGUUUGCUUUAGUUUCAUUAUCAUUAUGUAUUAUGUUAUGUUCAUCUUUUAAUGGCGCUACGCCUGUUGUUUCCAUUUUCUUAGACUUAAUGUAUGACCAUAGGUUUUUGUUGUUAUCUUUAGAUAUUACAUUGUUUAUGUAUUCACUCUGCAGCUGUCUGCUUACUUUUUGGGUUAAGUGUUUAAUUUUUAUAUACUUUUUGUAAACUCUUUCUGCAUUAGUUUCUUUAAAUUUUCUAUAGAGGUUUUCCUUCUGUUUACAAAGCUUCUUUAGUCUAUUAUUAAACCAGCAUUUAUUUAUUUUGUUUGAUGUGUAUUUAGUUGGUAUAUGAUUUUCUAUAAUGCUUUUAAGAUGGUUUUUAAUGAAAUUCCAGAGGUCAUCGACUGGUUGGUUAAUGUCUUUUUCUAAUAAGAAUGUUUGUUGAAAGUUCAGUGCAGCUUGGUGUAGUUGUGUUAGGUUACAUUUAUUCCAGAGUAAGAUUUUUCUUUUGGGUUUUGUAUUGGCUACUGCUUUUAUCUGACUGUGUAUUUUUAUGAUCUCAUGGUCUGAUAGACCAGGGAUAAUUUCAUAAUCAACUACUAAUCCAGGUCUGUUGGUUAAGAAGAGAAGAUUUGUUGGAGACACGGGGAAAAAAGUUUGACCUAGAUCUAGGUCUAGUCUAGAUCUACUUUUAGUGAAAGAUCUAGAUCUAGAUCUAAAUCUAGAUACUUUUAGAUACUUAAUAUAGAGCAGCUCAUUUUUCUGAUUCAAUCAAUUACUUUUGUGUGUGUAGGCCUAUAAAUUAGCGUGCUUCGUAUUUUGGAUACUUCAAAAAUAUUGGAUUUUUGUUGAUAUAACCAUUGAGUUACCAUUGAACAACCAUUGUUAUACGUAUAGGCCUACACGGAUUAUUGGAACAGUUUGGAUUAUUUAAUACGCAAAGGGGUGCCAUAGCGUUGUUUUAUGUUGUGUGAAGCCAUGAUGACAGUGUCGAUAUUGGGAGGCCAUGGUUUGGGGCUUUGAGUCAGUGACCCCAACAAUCUGUGUUGCCCUCAAUUGUCCCUCGCCGAGUUGAGAGUCAAUGACUUUUAAUGCUUCACAGACUGCCAUGGUCUCCACAUUGAAACUGCAAACACUACCACAUGGACCAAAGAUUUUGACUGAGUGAGAGCCAAGAAAGUCGAUGUAGGCUCCAUAACCUGCUCUUCCAGAAUCUAUUGAUGCCGACCCAUCAGUGAAUGCAAAAAUAGCACUGAGCUUAAAGAUUUGAAAAAAUUAAAAAACACCAUUCAUGAAAUGUACAAAUUAUAUUUGUUUCUAUACUGCAUUCUUGGAGCUACUGUUUAUAAGAACUUAGUUAUGUCUUCAUUUCAAAGUGUACAUUUAUUUAAAGGCAUUGAAGGAGUUGUGAAUGGAAUGAUUAUGUUUUAUGUAUUAGGUAUGUUCUGGGCCAAUUGCAAACAGUGUGAAAGGUUACUUCUCUGAGAUGUGGAACUACAUGGACAUCACCAUGUUGGCGUUUUAUACUGCUGGCUACUCCACGAAGGUGUGAUCUUUACAAAAACCAAUAGAUACUUUGCUGACAACCAACUGAUUCACAUUGAAGCCUCUUAGAGACCACUGGGACAUUGUUCUGGGCUGCCUUUGGUAUGGGGAACUCUCAGGCACCAGCUAUUAAAGAAGAAACAAAUAGCAGUCAAGUUAAUGGUGACUCAGAGAUAAGAGACAGUGUGCUGCUGAAAGUCAUUGAGGUGGUUGGCUACAUUUUGUAUGGAGUUUACAUUCUUGAUGCUGUCGUGGUCCUGAUCAACUUGUUCAUUGCUAUGAUGAAUUUGAAGACAUUUAGAAUGUCCAAAAGAUUAGUCAGCUAAGGAGCCUAAAAUGUUAGCCUGUUUACAAAUAUGAGAUCUUCCUUGACUACACAAGUACCUUACAAAAGAAGGCUACUCACUUGUGUUUGGAUAUGUCAGCUGUUUUGUCCCUGUGGCCCUUUUCAAGCAUGACAGAUACUAUUCUAAGCAGCUUUUUUCUCUGGAAAUUAUUCAACCACAGAAGCUGUGAGGGAUAUCUGAAAUCCAUUGCUUACUUGUCUAGAAAGACUUCCAUCGAUUGAGUGAUAAAAGAUUAAAUGUACACAACUUUUAGUAGUCACCACAUAACACUUAACAUUUUGAUGCUCAAAACAAUACUGUUCAUGAAUGGUUUAUUUUUCUUUAUGCUGAGAGUGUCCAAGAAAGAUAAGGUCAAAGGUUAAUUGGACAAACAAUAAACUUUGUCUCUGAAUCUGAAAUUGUAGAACUUGUAGAGAAAAACAACAACUUUGUGUUGUUUUUUUUUUAAUUUACCAGGUACUAGGUACCUACUAUUCAUUUACUUUGACUGUUGACUUUAAGUUAGAAAUAAGGAAAGAUUUCUUUGAGCUAUAUUUGUCAAUGACCAUAGGCAUUAAGAGAGUUGACACCUCAUUUUACUUUUCAACAAGAUGAUGUCUUAAAAAAAUUAAGAGCUUUUGGUGGAAUUCUGUGGUUGAAUAACAUAAGGAAUAAUCACAGGAUUCCAUCAAAAUCAUUGCAAUUUGAACAUUGUUGGUAGUUUCAAUGUUGUUAAGUUUUUUAGUUCUUGGUGUUACUACAUUAUUCAUUUUCUAGUGACCAGGCAGUGUUUUAUACCAUGAAUGAAUAUGUUGUAAGAGGUUUAAGGUAUACCACUCAAUCAAUAAUAUCUUUGACAAUAAAAUAUUUUGAUUAAGUUUAUAUUUUUGGAACAGAAUAUGCUUAUGUGUUAAAUGUACAUUUUUCUUUUUUUUUUUGAAUAACAACUGAUAUUAGUUUUAUCCCUUUGUAUCUUUCUACAGUAGAUGCAGUGUCAUACUAAAUAGAAAUUUAAAAAAAUUAUAAUAACUUCUAAUCAAAAAUCAAAUUAAAAUCAAAUAUCUAAAUGAAUCAUGCUACUUUGAUUCUACACAACUCAUUUUGAUAUUUAUGUAUACCUUGUAAUAAAAGUGGCAUUCAUUUUACAAUUUCAUUUUUUUUUAUUGUAACUGGUCUGUGUUAAUUUCUUUUUUUUUUUUUCAAAUUACUUUGUAUUGCCUAUAUGGGGAAAUGGUAUUUCUGGUGUUUCUUUGCUCAGCAAAAACAAAUCAGGAUUUGAACUCAAGCCCCCUUGACAGUGGUUUAUGCCAGAUAUCCAGCAUUUCAUGCAGUUUGUAGGCCAAAUUUGAUACUCACAGUGCCCCAGUGCAGGUAGAAAGGAAACCUUGCCUCAUUAAUGUUUGCUGCUCCAGACUUGCUUCUCUCUAUCUCAACUGAUCUAGGAAGCACUACAGCUGGGUUUCAGUCCACUGCAUUGGCUAGAGAGGAUUUCAGUCUCUCAGGCUGCAACUUAAAUGAAGUCUGAUGUGAUUUUAUUCUUUAAAAGUUGUAUGGAUGUCUUUAAGCUACAUAACUUAUCCUAGUCCAAUGUGUUGAUUGACAUAGUUACCAGGUACUGGUACUAAAAAAAAUGCCGCUUUUAUCCUCCCCUUCCAGCAACCCUUAGAUCUAGUUUUUCUAAAUUUCUAGUAGUUUAAUAGUGCUUUUCCAUAUGUCAUUAAAAAGUUAUGUUAAAAGUUAA